Non-coding RNA from Cinara cedri, 461 nucleotides. Lineage: Eukaryota; Metazoa; Arthropoda; Insecta; Hemiptera; Aphididae. The record is from the annotation of a GenBank genome assembly.
CCCCUCCCCCGAAAAGACGGAAAUUUCCUUAAAACGGACAACUGCAACAACAGUUCUGCAUGACCCAAAUUCCGUACAUUUUAAUCUCCCCUUAACGGAAACUCUUUUAUAACGGCAAAAUCAGUUGAUACCGUGUGAUUCCGUUAUAAUAAGGAGACUUCACUGUAUUUCGACAACUGCUUGAUAAAUAAAAAAUGACCAUCUUGAUAUGUCAACGAGUUUUUUUAUAACGCUACAAAAAGCUCGACUUUGGUUUUUCGAUCCGAGUAAGAUAUCCGGUAGAAAAGUCGUUCACAAUACAAAUCAUAAGCUAGCAGAAAUGUAAGCUCGCUGAAAUCUAAAAUUGAUGUAGUAUAGAAUUAAGUUUAGUUUAAUUUUACAAGAACAUAUAUCUAGAUUAGCAUAAUAGUUACCAACCGAUGAUAACAUAUUAGCCGGCGAACUAAUUGAAUAAUUUGAUA